GUACACUCCUGCGGGAGGCAGCAGUGGGGAAUUUUGGACAAUGGGCGAAAGCCUGAUCCAGCAAUGCCGCGUGUGUGAAGACGGCCUUCGGGUUGUAAAGCACUUUUGUCCGGAAAGAAAUCCUUGGCUCUAAUACAGUCGGGGGAUGACGGUACCGGAAGAAUAAGCACCGGCUAACUACGUGCCAGCAGCCGCGGUAAUACGUAGGGUGCGAGCGUUAAUCGGAAUUACUGGGCGUAAAGCGUGCGCAGGCGGUUUGCUAAGACCGAUGUGAAAUCCCCGGGCUCAACCUGGGAACUGCAUUGGUGACUGGCAGGCUAGAGUAUGGCAGAGGGGGGUAGAAUUCCACGUGUAGCGGUGAAAUGCGUAGAGAUGUGGAGGAAUACCGAUGGCGAAGGCAGCCCCCUGGGCCAAUACUGACGCUCAUGCACGAAAGCGUGGGGAGCAAACAGGAUUAGAUACCCCAGUAGUCC
RNAcentral lists this ribosomal RNA (473 nucleotides) under uncultured organism. RNAcentral describes it as "partial 16S ribosomal RNA". It matches the Rfam family "Bacterial small subunit ribosomal RNA", at positions 331 to 796 of the family's 1533-position model. The record is from RNAcentral.